This 459-nucleotide ribosomal RNA is filed under the name uncultured Bacillus sp. RNAcentral's name for it is "bacterial SSU rRNA". It matches the Rfam family "Bacterial small subunit ribosomal RNA", at positions 925 to 1383 of the family's 1533-position model. The record is from RNAcentral. Lineage: Bacteria; Bacillati; Bacillota; Bacilli; Caryophanales; Bacillaceae.
ACAAGCAGUGGAGUAUGUGGUUUAAUUCGAAGCAACGCGAAGAACCUUACCAGGGCUUGACAUCCCUUGAAGCAGCUAGAGAUAGCUGUGUCCUUCGGGACAAGGAGACAGGUGGUGCAUGGGUUGUCGUCAGCUCGUGUCGUGAGAUGUUGGGUUAAGUCCCGCAACGAGCGCAACCCCUACGUUUAGUUGCUAACGCGUGAAGGCGAGCACUCUAGACGAACUGCCGUUGACAAAACGGAGGAAGGUGGGGAUGACGUCAAAUCAUCAUGCCCCUUAUGUUCUGGGCUACACACGUGCUACAAUGGCCGGUACAGACGGACGCAAAGCCGCGAGGUGGAGCAAAUCCUAAAAAGCCGGUCUCAGUUCGGAUUGCAGGCUGCAAUUCGCCUGCAUGAAGUCGGAAUCGCUAGUAAUCGCAGGUCAGCAUACUGCGGUGAAUACGUUCCCGGGCCUUGC